Molecule: ribosomal RNA, 253 nt
Filed under: uncultured bacterium
Lineage: Bacteria
Description: partial 16S ribosomal RNA
Rfam family: Bacterial small subunit ribosomal RNA
Source: RNAcentral
GACGGGGGAUGCAAGCGUUAUCCGGAAUCACUGGGCGUAAAGCGUCUGUAGGUGGUGAUGCAAGUCACUGGUGCAAAACUCUGGCUCAACCGGAGGAAAGCCAGUGAAACUGCAUGACUAGAGUGUGGGAGAGGUAGAAGGAAUUCCCUGAGUAGCGGUGAAAUGCGUAGAUACAGGGAAGAACACCGGAGGCGAAAGCGUUCUACUGGAACACAACUGACACUGAGAGACGAAAGCGUGGGGAGCAAAAGGG